GGAUGUGAGGGCCAUCUGGCUGGGACACUUGUCGCCCCAUUGAUUGCCAGGGUUGAUUCGGCUGAUCUGGCUGGCGGGGCAGGUGUCCCCUUCCUCCCUCACUGCUCCAUGUGCCUCUCUCCCCAAGCUGCUCGCUGGGUUGAAGAGGACAACCUGCCCCAUAGAAGGAGGACCGUCCUUCAGUCAAGGGUAUAUGAGUAGCUCGCUCCCCUGCCAGAAUCUCCAGACAAGUCUCAAAUGGUGCUAAUGUACUAACAAGGGAUCAAAGACCUAACUGAAAGAGCGAAAACCAUAACAUUUUU
This 302-nucleotide small nuclear RNA is filed under the name Echinops telfairi (small Madagascar hedgehog). Its description in RNAcentral is "7SK RNA (ENSETEG00000021033.1)". It matches the Rfam family "7SK RNA". From Rfam's summary of the family: 7SK was discovered as an abundant small nuclear RNA in the mid-70s but a possible function has only recently been suggested. Two independent studies have found that 7SK RNA binds the CDK9/cyclin T complex (known as elongation factor P-TEFb). P-TEFb activates transcription by phosphorylating the C-terminal domain of RNA polymerase II. Lineage: Eukaryota; Metazoa; Chordata; Mammalia; Afrosoricida; Tenrecidae. The record is from RNAcentral.